Molecule: long non-coding RNA, 29030 nt
Filed under: Xyrichtys novacula (pearly razorfish)
Lineage: Eukaryota; Metazoa; Chordata; Actinopteri; Labriformes; Labridae
Source: RNAcentral
GCAGUGGCGGUUCUCGGCCACCGUACCAUGGGACUCAUUUGGAGAAAGGAGCAAUGAGAGACGGCUGGUUUGUUGGUGAGUUUAAAGCCUGUCUACAGUACUAAUGUUGGUACUUUCUCAAUAACUACUGUAAAUUGCUGAAGCCUGGACACCUUCCCACAAAUGUUGAUUAAAGAACCACCAUUGUACGUGUAAAACGGGUUUGCAUAUAUUAAAUAAAGAACAAUCAAUCCUAAGCUGGAUCCGGUUCUUGUUGGUGUAAAAUCUCAUCAUUAGUCAGAAAACUUUCUGCUCCAGACUCAGCCUCAUCAUCACUUUCACCAACAACAUCUGUUAAAACAUCAAGUUAAAAGCAGAGAAACUUUCCUGCUCGUCUCAAUCGUUGGCUCAUAGUUCGCUUUAGUAGCAGUACUUCAUAGUGCUUCAGUAACACCAGCUCUGAUUGGUCAGCAAGUCAAGAACACACGCAAUGAUUGGCUCCCCGCUUCAACUCCAAUGAGUGUGGGAAGGCUAAAAGGGAGGCUAACUAAACAAUAGCGGUUUCAACUUAAAAUAAAAGGUUUCUAAACUCUCUUGUAAAUUCCAGAUUAGAUUAACCAAUGCGGAGCUUUUCUAUGAAGCUUUGAAGACGCAUAUGAACCUCCAGGCUGAGUUUAAUCACUUAAAUAAGGACAGGAAUGCGCUGUAGUCCGCGAACAACACUCGGAGGCAGACAUGUUUUUAGCUGAGCUACGGUGGCCCCGAUGACCAUAUCACACGAAAAGCAAAAGACAAAGACGAAAAUUUUGUCAGAAACGCGAAUAUUUUUCCAUAAAACACAAGAAAAGUAUAGAGUACAAUAGAAUUAAACUGAAUUAAUCCUCCAAAGGGUAAAUUCAUAUUGUCAGAGCAGCAAUAGAUACGACAGGACACACAAGAGGUAUCAUCAAAAUAUAACAAAACAUCCCUUUUAUUCUCUGAAAUAUCCUUACAUUCUGCAUUUUCAUGGCAACUCUGUGUGUGUUGUGAAAUGAUAUUGUGUUCAAUGUAGCAUUUUGAGGUUUUGGAAAAAUAUUUCUACUCCUCUUGAGAUUAUUAUUAUUAUUUUAAGUGUUUGAAGGAAAACUGGAUGGAGAAAACGGACACUUAGGGGUUAAAAUAUGAAGUCUGCUUGUAAUAAUGGCCACAUGCUAAGACUGGUUUGAUUUGUGUAUGGAUAAAGUGCUUUUUCUCAGGUUUGAGACUUAGAGACUCGUGUGAUCAUGUGCUUAAAGAGAGCUGAGGCAUAUGGAAGUCAAUAUUUCAAGUGAUGUUUCAAUUAGAAACGUCCAACACCACAUUAUUACACUCCUGCAGACUCCCCAAAACCACCAAAACCACUCACAUAGCGCACUACACAUACACAAGUACAAACACCCUAAAACCACAUGUUUUUGCUCGCAUAAAGGCUGCGCUGUCUUUAUGUUUUCAGGCUGGUGGUGUUAUCAGAACUAUGCGCACACACAAGCACACACUCCGACACUCGGGGGCAAGAGUGGGAGGAGCAGAUCAAAGAAAGUGUGGUUAAAAAAGAACACCCAGGGACACCCACCUCCACAUAAACAGGGGAUCUCCUUACCAAAAACAAAGAGGCCUGAGCAGCCAACCCACAUCCAGCGGAACAGGGAGGGGUGAAGGAGCUUAGGGAGAGGGGAGGAAGGGGGAGGGAGGGAUCAGAAAACAUGUAAGAUGGGCGGAAAGGUAGAGCAAAAUCAUUCAUUACUGUAAUUACAACCUGAGCCCACUCACUCUUUCAUUCAGAAAAGAGGAGAAAAGAAGCAGAGGAGAGAUUAAACUUCCCACAAAGGUGUUUACCGCACACAAGGAGAAAUCUUUUUUUAAUUCUUUCUUCAAAUGAGUCCUCCAAAGGCAUAAACAGAGAGGAACACACAUGUGACGCUCCACGGGGGAUCCUUAAUCGGUUCAAGUGAUGAGGUUUAUGUCAGUAAAUAACAUGAGCUAUGAAAGUGCUGUGUCAGGGUCUACAUCAGGGUAUUUAUUUUCCCAUAAAACAUCUGAAUCAUGCUCUCACUCACCACCUCACAAGAGUCGUUAUACCUCCAAAGCAGAGCUGUGUUUGAGUGCCAAAUAAAUAUUUACUUCUUUGUUGUUUUUGCCCUCAUGUUUCAAACUGGACACAAAUCAUAAUUGAAUGUCUUUGAUGAAUAGUUUCACAAUUUAGGAAAUGCUUUUAUGUGUUUUUUUUCUACCAAGCAACAACCUCCAGUGUUGAUGUAUGAAGUCCAAAACAGUGCAGUUCUUGAUGUCCGCCAUGAAGGUUAACAUUGACACCCAUGUUAAAAUGCCGAUUGUUAUGGCGGAUAUAAACACGUUUAAAGCCGGGAACAAAAAAUAAAAAAGUUUUGUAAAGAGUUGAACUUGUUAACUUUUUGAAAAAAAAAAAAAAAAGAGGUAAUUAUAACUGUUUGAAUGUAAGUAGUUGUUAAAAAUGUGGAUAAACUUUUGUUAAAGUCACUUGGACUAUUACAGUUCAGUUUAUGUCUUAGGCUACGUUUACACUGCAGGUUAUGAUGCACAAUUCGGAUUUUUAGUUAAGUCCGAUCUUUUUGUGCGGUCAGUCACAUUAGAACAACGAAUGCGGCAUCCAAUGUGAACAGAAUGCGUCCAAAAGUGACCCGCAUGCACACAAAUUGCUUUCCGCGCCUGUUUGUGUUGUCGAACAAUGGUGACAUUCUUUGCAUAUUGAUGAAGUAUAGGUCAGAUUAACGUGACCUGAGCAUCCACACUGCAGUCACAUCGGAUUCAUAUCCGAUUUACAUCCACAUACAAAAGAGGCCUGGGUUGGAUUUGAAAAAAUCAGAAUUGCACUGUUCACACUUAAAUGAAAAAAUCUGAUAUGUGUCACAUAUGGUUAAAAAUCGGAAUUGACCUGCAGUGUGAACAUAGCCCUAGACGAAGCUCAUGGUUAAAAGAUAGAUUAGUUAAAUGUGUUUAAAAAAUAGACCACGCUAUAUAUUUUUUUAUCUUUGUUGUGUCUGUAAAAGCGAAGUUUCAGUGUCACCCUGUAAGGACAAUACUUAAACACACCACCAGAGGGCGCGCAGUCCCUGUGAAGCACAUGAUACCCAUUAAAGAAACACUUUAGCCGAGCUGAACACAUGCGAAACUUCAUUUGUUUUCACAUACAGGUGAGUUAGUAGGCUUAAAUCAAACAUCUACAGUACAUCCCAGUAUGAGGGGUACCAGUGCUGUGAAUGUUUUUCCGUAGUUUUGCUGUUUUGAAUCUAUUUUGAGAUGUUGCUAUUAGGCUAGCACACCUGUUGCUAAUCCCCACAGGGAAGUACUGAUGAGACACAUGGAGGGGUUUGAUUACUUUGCAAACAAAUUUUCAGUAAAAUAAGAUGAUAGGGUUCAACUCAAGGGAAACUGUUGUAACAUUUACGGUUAACACCAUACUUGAGCUCAUUUCUCCUUUGCACACACUAUACAGGUAUGAUUUUUAAUUUUAAUCCAUCAGUUUGGAUGAAGUGUAGUCUAAGGGUUUUACACAAUUACUGAAGUGACUGUAUGGUUGGGGCAUCUUAGGUUUUCUCCCCAUGCAGGAGACUUUCAGCUUGCCUCAUCUUCACCUCAAGGUUGAGUCAGCAUUUCCAAUCUGGUGUCUGCCAUCAUGAGGCUUAACCCCACUUCGUAACCUCAUGGAUGGUGUAACUGGAGACACUGUGUUUCAUGCAGCCCAUGGUUGUUGCUAAGAUAUGAGGAUCAGUAAAUUGCAUUAAAGCAGCUGAUAUGAAUAUUUUUACAAUAGUGAUGAAUUAAAGGAGGUGUUGGUUAGUCUUUCAGAUCUCUACUCUUGAGUGGCAGAUGGGGCAUACCUCCCUCAUGCCUCUAUAUGAGAAUUUUAAUAUUGUAAAAAUUGUUGGGCGACCUUUCACAGUCAUUUUCAGCUUUCAUUAUGCCAGUCGAUGACACCUAUAAAGGAUGUUUGCUGUUCAUAAAACUAAUUUUUGAAUCAUUUUGUUCUUAUCAUACAAAGUUAGUCAUGGCUUGUGGGUGUUACUUUUUCUUGUAAAGUCAUGAAACAACUCAAUGAGGGUGACUUUUCAGGAACAAGGGACCAUUAAGGUGUUUUUAGUCCCAGGGUAUUGGGUCGGUCCGUCAAAGACCACAUCUAGACGUCAGUGUGACGUGCAAAAUAGGUUAGAAAUUUCAACCUCCAAAUUGGACCUUUUUUAGACGUUGCUCUGACGUUUAGAAUUUGGACGUCAUCUGAAGACCAAAUCUAGACGUCGGCAUAACUUGCAAAAUGGAUUCAAGAUUUACACGUCAUUUUUGGACCUCUUUAAGACGUUAAAAUGACAUCCACGUUUGUACCUCAUUGUCGAAAAAUGUGGUAAAUAGAUGUCAUUUUGAUGUCGCAUUGCGCAGUGGGGAAAUGGUACUCCACUGGGAGGCUGAAGUCCUGGGUAAAUAAUGCAAAUAAGAACAAUAACAUCUAUGUCUGACCAAAGGCCUCAAUAAGGUGCAAAGUGGGACAUGUAACAGCCAAUAGGCCAGACGAGGAGAUGGUACAGACCAAACACAAAGCUCAAAGGAGGUUCUUGCCUGUUUUCUAUACAUCAAUAUUAACAAAUACUUGCUCACAAAUUAGCCACAAUAUUCAAUCAACAGUUACAUAAGAAGGUUUACUCUUUACCAGACAGUCUUAAAACCCUUUUGCUGCAGCCAGCACCUGGUUAGAUUAGCCUGGCAGAAAAGGAGAGAACAGUCAGCAGUCCAAAGGUCACAAAAUCUGAAUAUUAGCAGCUAUAAUGCUCUUUAAUUGGCACAUUUCAUCUUAUUUGCCUAAUCCACUCUGUAGAGCAGGUUUCCCCCUGAAUAAACAGUUGAAUAAGUGGUAUCAGUCUCGGCAUCUGAGUCUCAACAGGAAAAUAAACGAGUUCAUUUCCCCUGAAGGAAAAAACAAAGUGACAGAACCGAAAAUUGAUAUCAGAUCAUCAAAUAUUAAACAGAAUACACAUUCUGUGCUCUCAGAAACUCUGAGGAAACUUCUCUUUAGCAGUGACUCUAAAAUCCCUUUCCCUCAUCACUUUACAUAACAGACUCCGGGCUUCAAACUAUGUCUGCCUGUGUUUGUGGAACAUGUUCUGAAGUAGGUUGACUCACUUUCUGACCACAGCUUGUAGCCUCUUGGUUUCUUUACAGCCUCCCCUCAAUGUGUUUACCUUGCUCUCAUCUCCGUGUCCCUCAGGACUCCUUAACCACCACCCUGGGUGUCCCUCUGGGGGGAAACAAUCGGCCGAGCGGAGGAAAGGAAACAAAAGCUCUGAUGUGAUCUGAGGACAUCAACAAUGCCUGGAAAGUUCACCUGCCGUCACAUACUGCAAGGGAAGCCGUUUCCAGUCAUUCAGGAGACCCACAGGUGUUUUUUCCAUGCUCGGAAAUAAGCAUCAAGUAACACUAAGUAUAAAAUAUGAUACUGCGAACGCACAGAAAAGUAGACAAUAAGUCUGCUUAUAUGCAUGUAUAUCAAAUGUUUUAUGUAUAGAGUUUGUGGUUUGUGCUGGGUAUGUGGUCCAAACUGGAGGCCUGUUUGUGGAAGAACUUGAUACAGUGAGGAAAGGAGACAGUAUAACUCAUCCGUAACAUUUCCUCUGUAGUUAUCCUUUGAUUCUCCCACAAAGAGGUCGCAGACAUGGCUUUGUUAGGUUUUGGUUUUUGCCUCCAUUGUGUAUGUUUGAGUGAAGGUCAUGAGUCUCAGUCAGGAGGACAAAGUUUCAGACUCAUCUGGAGAGGGUGGGUAAGUGCUUUUGUUUUCCUAACUGGCGCAGAGACAGAGCACAAGUGACACCUAGUGGACUGGAGCAGUACUGUGUGGGAAGUGAGGCCUUUUUUAAACACUUGAUCUGAUUCUUAAAACACUUGACUUUUGGUUUUAUGUCUCUCACACUUCACCUUCAGUCUUGUUCUGGACACUUUGAAGAAUUACUCGUCUUUGGUAUUGUUGAAAUGAGCUUUUACAUUCAGGCAGUGAGUCGAAAUCCUUUUAGAUUGAGAGGUAAAUGAUUGAAAUUAAGCUAAAAAGGGGGUAAAUAUGAACAAGAGAAGUUGGUGUCACAGUAUGUAUCCACAGAGAUGUAUAUUCUGUGUGGUAUUUAAGGGAAACUAUGAGUGAAAUGUUGAAAAAUUGCUCAAAAAGUCCCAGGACAUAUACCUGCGAGUCUCUUCUUACAAGUUUCUUGUCAAUACUGAUUGUGAGUUAUACACAAAAUGAUGUCUGACUCUCCUGGAAAAUGAAUAGAGUCGUAUGUUAACAAAGAUAUGAGCAACAUCAACAGCUGAAUGUAAAAUUGGUAGAAAAAUCUGUAAUCAAUUUGUGCUUUUGUAAGUGUUACAGAGCUAAUAUGUUUACCCCACUUGCUUUUAUAUAAGAUUUAUUUAAUAAUUUGUAGUUGUGGCUGUAUGGCGUCUCUAUUUUAUCAUGCAGUAUUAUACCUGAUCAGCACUCACAAAACUGUAUCUGUAUGAGAGACAUGCUGCGAUGAGAAGAUUAGCAGCAGGAAGAACAAAAACUGUUUAUUAAAGGCACCAUUGGGGGUUUUAAAGUGGGUGAGAAAUUGAUAGUAUUGCCUCUUUACAACCGCCAAAGGCAAACAUGAUUAUCAGCCAAGAGACUUUGAUUUUUCUGUUGCGAUUUUUAGUAUACAGGACAAGAGAGAAAAUGUACUGCUUGACCACAGGGGGCGCCAAAACCAACACAAACCAAGCUUUACUGUUUCUUGUCGCAACUUAUGGAAUGAAUAGCUGUUUAUGUAAAUGAGUCCAAGCCAGGUUACUAUGGCUGGUACUCUAUAAUACGUGCAUAUAACAGCACUUUGCAUCCAUUAGCAUGUUAGCUAGGCUCAAUAGUGCUGACCCCAAUACGCCAUCUGUAUGACUGAGCACAACCUAUUUUCUUCCUGUUUGGAGAGAAAACGUUUAUUGAGCCAGGUAGCUGCAGUGACGUGUUUUUGAGCCUUACCUCCAGUUUUCACCACUACCAGAACGGCAGCGAUUUCUGCUGUCCACCAACUCCUACCGGAUCCGUUUGUGAGGUGAAUUUCAUGGCGGAUAACGGACAGCAGGAAUCGUGAGAACUCACAAGAACCCGCGUAUUCGCGUGGAAUCGCGCGAUAUCAAGUUGUCUUUAGCCACAUAGGCUAACCAUAUAAGCAGUAGAUUGUGUCCUUCCAGAGGAGGAAAUCGACUUCUAGACUUCUAAAAUCAGCAUCUCCUCAUCCACGGUGUCAUCAGGAUGAAAUGCUGUCUAUAAAACUUUCACUUGUUUCUCCCCGCCUGUUUGCAUGGUGUGAAAUACGAUCAGCCUGAAAUACAGAGUUUUUAACAUUUUUUUAGAGAAGCCGGAUGUUUUAUUUUGUGUCUGUGACCAACUUCCUUUCCAGCAGAGGUUAAUCUGUGCCGGAUUUACCCCGCAUGCUCUGUUGUCUGGAAAAGAUAGAACUCUUGCGAUCAGUUGAGGAGUCUGGCGAUCCGCAGCAUAAUGGAAAGAAGCUGGUGGAAAUUGACACGUUAACUUUAAUGGUUACGAUCAGCAGAUACAGCCUUUUAGUAGACAUUCUGGAUGCGAUGGAAAUUGGGGGCUAGGUGCUCGAAUCCAGUUCAAGUUUAGUGAAGUGAUGACAGCUAGAAGUCACUUUAAGUUUUGAAUGACUUUCCAAGUUUGUUUGUGAGCUUUAGAGGAGCUGGUGUCUCCAAACAGCCUUUCCCCCCUGUUUAGCUUUAAUGUCAGGCCUGCUGCCGGGCUUAACUUUAUUAUUUUCCUUAAUUAUUUUACCAGGAAAGCUUCAACUGAGUUAAAAGGUCUCUUUGACAAGACUGUAUCAGCCAAGACAAACAGCACAUUUGAACAAAAUUCGCACACGAGGACACAUGACAGGUUACAUCGGGUCAACAUAUCCGGGGUCACACAGCGUGAUGGUGUCCUCCAACGCCAUUCAACAAAUCAAGAUGCACUUUUGAGAUGAAGAUUGAUUUCUCCAGAUCUAACUUAAUUGGAUCUUGUCACAUUAACAACAAUAAAACCCUAAUAACCUCAUGCAUUUGGUGAGUUAAACCAAAAUAGUUCACACCUGUCAGUCAGUGAAGUAUGGAAAUGAUUCAUAAUCUCGUUUAAGAACCACAAACAUGUGAAUAUGAGGGUUAUUAGAUCCUAUUAGCCUAAGUUAACCUCUUUUCAAACAUAAAUGGUGCGUUUCAUGAGAGAUGACUGAUUCCUCCGACAUAAAAGAGCUCGUAUCGAGAUGAUAAGUCAUGAGUUAUACGACCUGUGGCCUUCCAGGGUGAAUUAAAGCUUCUUCACAUGAAUUCAAUGUUACAGAGUCAUGCUCUGACAACAGCCUCAUAACCAGAGUGAAGUCAGAUGCUUCCCUCCAAGAACUGGAUGCUGUCUUUCCUGAGCUUCAGUCCAACAUUACAUCAUGCAUACUUGAAGACUUUGCUGUGAUUUCAAAGCACAGGGUGGGCCCUACGUUUUUAUGAGCCUUUUUAUUUAUUUAUGUGUUUCUGUCCAUUUUUCCUCCUCCCCUCUCUCUUCCCAGUUUUUUUUUCUUGUUAUUAUAGAGAGUGUAAGUAGCGGUCAGGACAUCUGCAUCCAUCUGUAUGUUUCUCUUCUGCUGACCUGAAACAACUCCCCUUCCUCCAUAGAUGUCGAGCAGACACGCCUUUCUAAACAGAGUCCUCAAUGACUGAUUGUGUGGACUCCUGUGAAGCUCCUCUCCUUCCACCCAUCAAACUGCUGCUCCCGCUACGGCCCAUUUAGUAAUAUACAUAGACACACGUGUGCGCGGCCUUUGUAUACAGAAAGCGGUGUGUGUCAUGUAAAUAUAGUUACACACAGUCAUUCUAACACAUCCAUGCACGAGUACAGAGCAGCACAGCGGCCUUGUUUCUGCUGAUGCUCCAUCUGCAGCCCAGAUGUGCCGCAGCGCUCUGAGGUGCCGCUGAGCGCAGGAUGUUUUGCAUUCCCUCUGUGGAACAUGUGAGGCGUUCCUGUGGGCCGUCCGUCUGGCUGCAUUAGUCUGUGUGUCAUGGGGAUGUGUUCGCCUCAGCCCCUCGUCGGCUGGCUCCAGGGGGUUUGGGUACGACUGUUAGCGGGCUAAUUCGGCACAGAUGUCGGGUGCUGAAUCAGGUGGUGAGAGGAAACUCCGGUACCGGCGGGAGGGAGACACUGGCUGCCCUGUGUGGUGGUCCAGCCCCUUCAUGAGCAAAUCCUCCCAGCUUGUUCCUGUUUCAGUCAAAGCUGAGGUGGAGAAUAGUAAUGUUUUUAUGGUGUACUGUAUCUGCUCUCUAAUGACAAGACUGUUUCCUUUUUUAUGACUCCAAAAACUCCUAAAACUGAUUUUAUAUUUUUGUUUUUGAGUUUCAGAGGAAUAAAACUUUACAGGCCCGACCUGCACGACUUCGGAGGAAGGGAGUAAACGCAAGAUAAAACUUUCUGAUGUUGUUUACUUAACCUUACUCUGAAAGGGUGUUUACAUCACGGAGUAUUUUUUUAUGUUCUUGUAAUUUUGCAAAAGAAAGUAAUACAACCACUAUGGUUAAUCUUUAACUUUGAUAAUCGAUAAGAAAAGUUGGAUUAAGAUAAAUACCAUUAUCUCCAUUGUUUUGCAAGUAUUAAAACCUUGUGCCCACAUUAUUUGUCAUAGUGGGUCAUGUAUCUUUUUACCAUUGCAUCGCAUUUACCUCGAGCUAAUUUUAAAGCCAACCAGUCAGAAUCAAAAAGAGGCGGGCAUCUGUUAGCAAGUUUGUCAACGACAAUCGCAGAUGUCUGGGAGGUACAUUUCCCAGUGCUAGAGCUAAUACUAAUGCUGUGACACCAUAGACCGUGUAUAUAGAAUGGACGCCGUCUGCCUCCUCGCUGAGUGAAGCCACCCCAAGAACAGCACCCUCUGGUGACAGGCUGCAGUAUAGGUCAUAAAUCCCGCCUCCGCCAGCAAAGCUUAUGGAGCUGUGGACAUGUAGUUAUUGCAAGACUGGUUUGUGCUGGCUUGCUGUUUGAGACAAGCGUCAUCACAGCGACUCCCGCCCAAUGUGUCCAAUGCUAUUGCACAAUGUUGGUUUCAGGAAGUGGAGAGAAAAAAAAGGAAUACAGAGAGCUUUUUGGCUUCAAAUCCGUAGACUGGUGGAUGGCGGGAACCAAGUUGUCCAUAGUAUAUACAGUCUCUGUUUGACACACAGUUUGUCUCUUUGUGAAAUGCCAUCGAAUGAAAGCUAUUAUAAAGCACAAAGAGCACUGUAAAACAGACGUAAUGUUAACUACUUGGAAGGUAGCAGAAGUUCGGCAAUUUUUGAGUCUGCCAGCGCAGACUCAUAAAAACUCGCCAUGGACAGUAUAUCAAUAUCAUCUUUAAGCUUGAUCAUUUUUAAUCCUUAUAAAUACUGCUAAAGCAUGCCUUUACUGUAGUUAUUAAAACUGAUGUCCAACAUUUUAAACCUUCAACACUUAAUAUAUUCUCAUUGAAUUUGAUCAAAAUGAGAAAGAAACACCUCAAGUUUGAAAUUCACCUCUUCAAAUCUAAACCAGGCCACUAAAAUGUGGAUUACAACCAGGAAAGAUUGCGUCAUCCCUGCUGUCCCCCCUCUGUUUUUACUAGUUACAUUUCAUGUAGUAAAUGUGCAGCUUAUUGUGCAGUUAAAGCCGCACAGGAACUCUUUAAUUUGCACAAACCUUGGAGAGGAAGUAUCAGGGACAUGACACAGAUAUCAUUAGCAGCAGUUUGCUUCACAAUGAAGACGUCACAAGUGGAAACUUAACAUUAAAUAAAGGAAUAUACUUAAAAUCCCAUGUUUUCUUUAAAUUUCGAUUUGAUGAAUCAGCUCCUGUCUCUUAUAGACGACAAACCAGUGUCGUGUUGCUUUGUCGGUACUGAAGUUGGUAUCUGAACAGCUCCUUUCGGGCUCAUUUCUUUCGGCAGUACAUGCCGUUGGCCGGCGCCUCCACAGCUGGCAGACGACAUAUUCCAUCCCAAGCAAUCGUGGCCCUCACCACCUGCUAUAGGGUCAUGGUUAUAGUGUGAGCCUGUUUAAGAUCUGCACUGUGUGUGUGUGUGGGGAUGUGUGUAUGUGCGUGUGAUGGGUGUCUGCUUAUAGAGGAAGAAGAUGCUUUAAUACACACACAUGUAACUGACACAGCAUGAGGCUCCAUUGUGUCCUAAUCAGUAUACCAAGAGAACUGAAUAACCAAUAUGUCCUCCGUCCUCCGCUCCAGUUGAGCGAGUAUGUCCAGAUAGAGACGGAGAGGGACGGAGAGCUGGAAUUCCUCUUUGAUCACGGCGUCCGUUGGUCAAUGGGACGUGGCGUUUGCCGAGGGGGUGCGCAGGCUGAGGAGGCUGCAGGGGCCGGAGCAACAGGGAGAGAGUGCUCAAUUGUCUUGUCCCUUUCUUUUUAUAUUUCUCAGGGACAUACACCCCCACCAAGAAGCCGAUACCGAGGUCAGGACCUUCUGCCCCCCCCUUCGUUUUUGCUCAUUCUUGACGGACGCUCUCUGUCAUGUAUAACUGCUGAACAAACCCCCUUUCCUCCCUCAACUGUCUCCCACAAGUACUUUCUUGCCACCCUGCUCCUUUAUGCAGGAGGUGGAGGUCGAGGCGUUGGCUUGGGGGUGGGGACGAGUUGGUCUGGAAACUUUUUUUUUUUUUUACAUAAAAGAGACAAAAACUGACAAAAUCUGGACAAAGACAAAUUGACUGCGAGUGUGUUUUAGUUCUGGAAGCAUCUGGUAGUUUUAUAAAAAGCAUUUCUAAGAAGCAGAAGGAGGCUGCUGUUUGUUUCAAGAGUCUGUUGUUAUUUACUCCAUUGUUACGUGAGCGGGCGAGUGUGCAGCCAAGCCAUCAAAGAACAGAACAUUUGGUCGUUAACAGAACUGUAGUGUUUGACAGAUGUAUAACAUAUUCUCUUUCUUGGAAAUGCUUUAUGGAACAACAAGUCUGCACCCAAAGCAUCUGCAGCGUUGAGAAGAAGCCUUUACAGGGCCUUUAGCUUUUAUUAUUCCCGUUUUCUGGCAUAAACUCAAAACCUGUUCGUGUCCAGCAUGUGGAAAACAAGAAGCAGAGUGUCACCAAUCCACAACUGAAAGAAGAAAGGACAGAUGAUUGGAUUAUUCUGCUUUUUUCAAGAGCUAACAAUAGUAACAUUGAUUGUUCAGGCAGAUUAAAGUGGUCGGUGUGCAGCGCAGAAGAGUAAGACUGAAGUUUUAGAGUCUGUGUUUGAAGCAGUGACACAUUUAGAUUAAUAGAUAGUUUGACAUGGAUGUGGUGGGAACACAGAUGUUCAACAUCUGAAAAGAUUUAUCUAAUGAAAUCUCUCAAUAAACAAAUUAAACGCUCUGCCCGUGUGCAGCUGUGAUACUGACGAUCCAUAUUAGAUUAAUAUAAUCUAAUAAAUCCAGGACGCAUCAAAAGAGAGCCAAACAAAUCUGACACUUCUGGGUCAAAACAAGUUAGUCUUGUUUAAGUAAAAGUCGGUCGCAUAUUCGUCAUUACUUUUAGUCAAAGUGUUUCCCGUCUAUGUCCAACAUCUACUUCAAACACUUCAGCUCGUCUCGUCUCUGUGGUUGAUGUUCGCUAAAUGAACGCCGUCAUUCAUUCUCAUCUUUGAAGCCAAAACGUCGUCCCUGCUGGUGUUGACAAACAAAGACCUGUGUGACUGUGACUUGGCUGGUCGUGUGGCCGGACAGACUUGAUAUCCCUGACUAUAACCCAGAGCCGGCACAAGCCUCAACAGGGCCCUAAGCAACAUUUGAUUAUGGGGCCCUCUAUUUCUGCCAGUAAUAUUGAUCGUUGAUCACCUUCACCUUCACAAAUCUCUUUAACAUUCCAUGACAUGCAAAUGUACCUUUAUCUUGGCAUGUUUUCUCUUCUUCCUCUUUCUUCCUCUUUCUUUUCUCUGUUCCUGAAGGAUACGUCCUUUUUUGCGACAUUGUUUCGCCCCAAAACUACCUGCUCUUUGGAUGAUCAGUGCACAUUACACAGCAGGAGGCACAUAACGGUAGCAGAGCUUUAACAUAUCGGCAGUAAUAAUCAUAGGCCGACAUCAGCAGCAGCACUAAAAAAUUUUUAUUUUAUUUUAUUUCCUUUUUACAAUAAUAUAUAUUUGAUCAUACAGAAAGCAUCACUCAUACAUGCAAAAUAUAAAAAAUAUUAAUUAUUAUUUUUUUUUUUUAUUGCUCUUGGGGGCCCCCUACUGGCUGCGGGACCCUUAGCAGGCGAGUAGUUCUCUUAUGCCUUGGGCCGGCUCUGCUAUAACCAAACUCCACAGUAAAAACAUACCCAUAAAAUGUCAAAGAUCCCUCUCCUCAGGUCUAGAAAAUCCACAGCAGAACUUAAUCUUGUGUUGAUUUGAGGCAGAGACAAACUCUUGUGCUGGUGUUUUAUAUAUUUUCUCCCUGUUUGUCCUCGACUGUGUUAAUCUGGAGAAUCUGCAGAAACUGUUCAUCAUCAUGGUGUUGAACCCGCUCUUUUGAAAAUCAAGGACACAAAAACUUUUAUAUCAGAAACCAUGUGUCAAAAAAAAAGUUUUUAAGUGUAUUUUAGUUUUAUAGAGAAGCCGAUCUGUGAUCUAUUAACAUUACAGAGACAGAGCUUAUGACCUAUACUGUAGGUGGCCACCAGGGGAGCUCUAAAUCCUUUGGCUUCAACCCAGACUGAUAAUUAUAGUGUUCUAUGUAUACACAGUGAUUUUAAGAGGUUUGAUAGAUGAGUGGGGUUUUUUACUCAAGAUGAUUUUAUUUAAAGCUAAUUUAAUUUUGCUUCAUGUUUAAUCUGAUUAAAAUAAUUUGAUAACCUUUGCAAAGUAAUCUGAUUAUCUCAUGUUUUUAACUGGUUAUGAAACAGACUGAAAUCAUCACUGAUUUAACUUUAUGACCUACAAAAGCAAAACAGACCAAAUCUGUCAUAAACAGGGAAAACAGCCACGAAUUUAUGAGCAAAAUAUUAUAUUUAGCAAACUACUGUGGUGUCGGUCAAGACAGUGAGAGGUGGAUGUAGCAGUGUGGAUGUAAUGUAGAGGUUCACCAUCCAAUGUGUCUGAGUGAGAAAUAGUUCAGGGACGAUGUUUAUUAUUGGUAAUUUGCAACGACUUUGAGGAUUUUAUCAUCUGUUUACCCAAAUUAAAAGAUCCUGCAGAAAUCUCUGUCGAAAAAAAAGGCAAAUCUGAUAAUUGAUUCUGGGUGGCUGUGAUCUUUAAACCCUCAGCUGGCACAGAGUCAUAACAGACAUGACUCUGCAGUGGAAAUCACAGCACGGACUCAAAGUCACAUCCCAAAACCUCCAGUCUGUGAACAGAGUCUGUUGCUGCAACAUCAACAAAUGCAAGUUAAUCAAAUAAACGUGCAAAUGAAUGUCAAAUUAAUUGUCUUUGCACUAUUUUCAAUGAAAUAGGAACUGAAAUGAUGCAAAUCAUCAGACUCUGCUUGCAUCAGCCUUUCUUAUAGCAUCUCAACUCUUUGAAUUAAGUUUUAAUAAACAAGUUUAAUUAUUUGACCCUCUUUCUGUACUUGAAUGUGGAAUAAUGCUUUCAGUCGAUCACCAAAAUUUGUCAUAAAGUGACCCUGUGAAUUGGAAAAUGAACAAGUUGAUCAGCUGUAUCUUGAAUUUAUCAAAGAAAACGAGUAAAAGUGAGAAGCUGCUGCUCUGGCGGCCUCUAGUGGAUGAAAAAUAGAAAAUAAAUAGAUAUUUAUAUAUGUUUAUAAUAUCUUUGUUGUCCAGCAGAGGGCAGCAUGUCUCUGAAAUUACAUAUUAACUCAAAGGUAGCAGCCAACUGUGGGCUUUUUCUGCCCCUCUGUGCAGUUUCUUCAUGUCAUACUUUGCCUUUUAUUUUUACUUUUCCCUCACUCUGUCUUUUUACUCUUAUUUUCUAUCUUCUCUUUUUCAGACGUUUGUUUUCUCUCUUUUUUCCACUGCCAGUUUAGUGGAGUUUCACACACACAGGCAGAAACGCUCAACAUAUGGUUUGCCUCUUGAGUUGUGUAGCUGUUUUCCCUCUUCUCUCCAUACUGAGUCUGCAAAACCCAUCACUCCAUCUGCCCCCCUCAAACCUCCUCCACCCCCUGUUUUUCCUCUCUUCCUGCUCCCUCUCCUCUCCUCUCCUCCUCCUCAUGCAUCCAUCUCCCCUUCCUACCUUUCCUCCCACUUGCCUUUAUUUCUUUCUUCGUUCUUCACCUGCACAUCCAUCUUUUUCUUCCUCUGUGUGACCGGAUGAGUCACUUCGGAUGACAUCAGCUCCACACUCACUGAGAUGAAAGAAACUGAAGGAAAGUCGAAGGUGGGAGAAGAUCAGUGUGUGGGCUUCUUCUUCUCACCACACCGGGUUCAUAUUUCUCACAUGUUUUUCUGACAAGGAUGCAAGACUGUGUGGAUUCUGGUCUUGUUUUUAACCCUCCUAACCCAGGAUCAUCUCAAAACUCCUCUCUAAUCCUCACAUUGAUUGGUUGUUUUUGUCAGGAGUUAAUCUCUGUCUCGUUUUUAGCGGGCCUGUUCAAUGUUUUAUGGUCAGAACUCUUGUUUCUAUAAUGACUUUUAAACUCAGUAAGGUGUUGAAUUCUGGUCAGAUUUAAAAAGACUAUUUUUAUCCUCUUUGAAGAUGAACUAGGACAACUAUUUGUCAGUUUUUAACAUUAAAAAGUCCAAAAAUAAUCUAAAAGGGGGUAAAUAUGAGUUUACCUGAGGGCAGAUAUUAUAGUUUAUUUGUUUGUUUAUUUAUUUGGAUCCCCAUUAGCUCCUCUUCCUAGGGUCCACAAGAAAACAUUCAACAUUCAUAUACAUUAAAAUGAUAAAAGUCCAAACAGGAGAAUUAUACAAGAUGUUAAAAUCAUAACUAAAACAAGAAUUAUGAUGACAUUACAUUUCCAAUUUAAAAAACACUAAACAGUUUGUCACUGUGAGAUUUCCCUACUCUUUCCUGUCCCUGCAGUUUGUACAGGUAUGCGUGAGUGUUGUGGGUUUUGGUUUACAAGCCUGUCGUGGCUCUCUGUAUCCUGUUCCUGGUCCCUUGAAGUCCCAUGUGGACCUCUGGAGGGUGUCUUUAACAACAAAGUCAGUUUGGUAUGUGUUUACUCAGAGCCGCCCUCAGUGUCUCCUCUCCUCCUCUGAAGCAGAAGCUGGCUGACAGAUAACAAACACCUCUCGGCGCUGACUGACCCACAGAUUUACGGCUUCAUAAAAGUCUGGUUUGGGGAUUUGGUUAACAGUUUCCCUUCAGGAGGUCAUUUGGAGCUGUUUUCUCCUCUGUCAGCACGUCAAACUGAGAGUGAAGAUAACCAGUCUGAAGCGAAGACAAUGCUUCCUGAAUGAGAGGAUGUUUUCUUGCCAAAUCAAAACCAUGUCAGUGUUAGCGUGUGGUGUAUUUAAAGCCUCAUGAGGAAACAUGCACGUGUCAGUGCUAAUUCCUCUGUGGGGCAUUCACACUCUUUUGUCUCUCUUUCUUUCUGGGGGUAAAGAGAGAAAUCACACUUGUAACAGGUGGAGCAUUCAGCAGCAAACAGGGUGUUAAUAGAGUGUAUGAAGGUCUGUGUGGGCCUCACACCUUCUCCCUCUCAACAUAAACUCUAGAAACAACAGAUGGAUUCACACAUUUACGCAGACAUCCUCAGAGGCGGGUGAAGUUUGAGGAGCGUUUGUCAGCCUCUCAUGAUCCGGUAGUUAAAGGGAUAUUCCGGCGUAAAAUUAAUUUAGGGUCAAACACAUAGUAACACCGAGUUAGACACCCCCUUGAGAGAUAAGUGUUGCUGACCGCUUGCUUCUCUAAUUAUACUAACUUAGGUAGCAACCACACAUGAGCAAUACACAGCGGUCUACAUCUCCAUGCGCAAACCUCAACCAAAACGCCACUCUAUAGCCACAAAUAAUGCUCAGAACAGCACCUAACUUCAUCAACAGUACAUAUAGGGUCCCAGUCAUAGUACUAGCCACCAAACAUCUUUUUAACUUCCCCUGAUUUCUUUAGCAAAGAGACUAAAAACAACUCACCCACUCUCCUCCAGCAGCCACUUGUUUGUCGGGGAGCCCUGACGAGUCGAUCACAGAGUGCAGCGGAUCAUUUCCAUGAAGAACUAAUCACCAGAGUAGUUCUUCUGCCUUAGCAUCUCAAUCAUUUCUUUCCAUAAAGUAAUGAUCAUAAAUGUUCUUCCUUGAGCUGUGAAACUCCUCUGCACUUGGUGAUCGACUCGUCAGGGCUCCCCCACAAACAAGUGGCUGCUGGAAGAGAGUAGGUGAGUUAUGUUUGGUCUCUUUGCUAAAGAAAUUAGUCAAAGUUAAAAAGAUGAUUGGUGGCUAGUACUAUGGCUAGGACCCUAUAUGUACUGUUGAUGAAGUUAGGUGCUGUUCUGAGCAUUAUUUGUGGCUAUAGAGUGGUGUUUUGGUUGAGGUUUGUUUAUGGCUCCUCAGACCGCUGUGUAUUGCCAUCAUGCGGUCGUUACUGAAGUUGGUAUAACUAGAGAAGCAAGCGGUCGGCAACAUUCAUCUCUCGAGGGCGUGUCUAACUCUGUGUUACGGUGUGUUUGACCAUAACAUAAAUUUAUGCCGGAAUAUCCCUUUAAAACACAGUUGAAGGAAUCAAAUUUACAUUUUAUGACAUAAAACAAUUACAUUAUUUUACAUUGUGUCCUCAGACUUCUCUCAACAGUGGCACCAAACCCAGAAUCCAAACAGACAAUAUCGAAAACCACUUAUUUUUUAAUGUCCAGACCUUGUGAAUCAUGGCUACACACUGAGAUUAGAGUUUACCAGUCCCGUCAGACUACAAACUGUUUUUGUAAUAUGGUUUUGUCUCCAUCCUGCAUCUCUAAAAGUCCUGUUUGUCCUCCGAUCAGUCCUUUAACCAGCAGAGCUUAAAUUUUGUCAACUUUGCUGCUUUCCUUUCCAACGACGGCACCCGAACGAACCUCACAUCCUGUGUGCUUGUGUCGAACGAGGCGCUUAUCAAAACUGGAUCUUAUCGUCUCUUCAUGCACAACACUUUCACUCUGCUGCGGCGGCCGCUGACAGAGGGCCAGCAGCAUCAGGGCAGGACCACAGCCAGAAUUUCCCCUGAGGAGCGAAGCCUUCGGGCUGUGGAGUCACAGUUUACAAUGCUGGGUUUUCUCCAUUUCAUGCUCUCAUACUCUCCAUUGUCCCCGAGCUUUCACAGCUCCCCAUCCGAACAGCUUCAAAAGAUCAUGUGACAUUGCCUCAUCCCUCUGUUUGCAAGAACGCCCUGCUUUUCGACCUCCACCCUGUUUUACUGUGCUUUUUCCAAUCUUUUAAACAUAUUAUGCACGCUAUCUGCUUUUGCACUUUUCCUCUAUCUCAGACUCUAUCAUUCUUCAGCUCUCUUGGUUUCCUCGUGUAAACAGGGAGUGUAUUGUGCUUCUGCAGAUCUUGUCUGUCCUCGGUGUUGACUGUUUUGUCUGUGAGUAAUGAUGGAUUCAGAUCCACACGUCUGCAAGGUGUAAAAGCAGACAUUUCCACUCGAUCUCUCGGAGUCUGUUUUGACAGCGUGUAAACAACAGAGAUGCUUGGUUUUGUCGUGCUAUGACUGCUUGUCCUCCUCGAAGUCAGGGUGUUAAAUUUAGAGAUGAAUGAACAAAGUUUUUGUUUUAGUUUCACAAAAGUUUUGUUAUUUUUAGGUGUGGAUGUGGUUUAAUGCCAAAAUAUAUCCCGAUCAUGAUGCUCAAAAGCUCUUCUCUCUAUGAAUCAGAGGUUCUACCUGCAAAGAUCAUUAUUAUCAUGUUCAGGCGACUUUACAUUAAAGGGAUAGUUUCACAUUUUUGAGGUAGGGGUCGUGGUUCAUGCUGUUGCCUCACACGGAGACGGUUCCUGGGUCACUCCCAGGCACCUCUUUGUAAGGAUUUCGCUCUUUCUCAACAUGUAUUUAAGGUUUUCCUGCAGGUACUUGUUGUGGUUUUUCAUGAUUCAAAAUAACCCUCAGCCACAAGACAAAACAUUACAUGAGUGAGAGAGCCUUCUGACCCACGUGAGACUUAAUUUAGCAUCACAUAGGUGUGUCUCGUCGACUGAAAUGCACAGGGUUACAUCAUUUUCUUAUAUUCAGAAAGUUUGCAGCUCUCCUUUGUACACGUCAUCUCAGAGUUCCUCCAAUAUCAGAGCUCAUUCGACAGGCAAGUUUCAUUACUUUUGGAUAACCCUGAAAGAAAACAGUUCACAGAGGUGAUUCUAGAGUGUGCUGGGGCCCCAAGCAAAAAUUCUGAAACCAGCUAAAGAGGUCAAAAACAGAAACUUUUUAAAAACAAUCAUCAGUAUUACUACAUAACUUGAAAAUUGUGCUCUAAAAUAACUACAGCUCUGGUAUGUUUUUACCACAAUAGCAGCACCUCACCUUUGAUCUAAGAUUUGAUGUCCGAGACUUUUGCUGUAUUUGAGUUACCUCGGAAGUCAGAUGUCGGAGCUGAAAAUGACGUCACACCUGAGUUCCCAGGGUUUCAGUUACCAAGUCGGAAAAAAGCGAAAUCGGAGGCCUGAAACAAGAUGGCUACAUCUACGAAAGUUAUUUUAGUGCUUGCCUUAUAUUCAGACAAGAAUUUAAAUGCACCAAAAUCAGUUUUACUUCUCAUCACUGACAUGGACCACACUCUAUUUAUUAAAAAAAUUCAUCUAGGUCAUUUUAUAUGGGAAAUAUGUCAAUUCUGUGUUUAUUUUUACCGUUAAAAUUAACAGUGAGAUGUUGCACAAAAACUGUCAUAAAAAGGGUAAUACAUCAAAUUUUUUAAUUAUUUUUUAAUGGUCAGGACUGAAGAUGUUUAAGAGAUAUGAGUCGAAAAAAAGUUAACAAAAGAGAAUUUUAUGAACUCUUACCUGCAUGUCAGUUUUGGAGACAAAGUAGGCUGGAUGGAGCUUAAAAUUAACAGAAACCAAGGGUUAAUGGGGUUGCAAUAUUUAGGACAUUUUUGUAGAGUAAGGCUCGUCAGCCCUUGUGGGUAAUAUUCUGAUAUUACUUUACAUCUCUGCACACUGACGUUGUUGCUGUCUGUUCUGACUUCCUAACUCUAGAUUUGCUUCGACAUCAUGUCGACAGAAAACACUCAGACCAGUAAAUUCUGCACAGUCAAGCUGAAUCAAAUGAAUCAAAACAACUCAAAGACACUCUGAAACUGAGUUGUUAUUCUCUGUGGCAGACCUGGCUCUGCAGUCCUACAGUACGCUGAAGCUAAAUGUCUGCCUUAGCAUAAAGAAAACAUGAGUGGAGUCAAUCUUGAAUAUAUUUCCCAAAGAGUGUGAGAGUUCUUGUUGGUACUCUGCCCUCUAACAGCUGUUUUUCAUCGUUUUAGGAUACCCUGAUGGGAAAUAAGAUCCCCCCUCGACUGUAAGGUUAAAAGGUUCACCCUCUUCUUCCUCUAAAAGUUCUUCAUAGUGGCGCUGAACUCUUCCCUCUGGUGCGCAUGUAUGUUUGCUUAAAGGGCAGCGAAACUCCCAGUUGCAUAAUCCAAUAAGAGGAUCGAGCUUUUAAAGUAUCAGAUAUGACACUGGGGGUUUGUCAGAGUGAAAUCUCUUCAGUCCACAGCUGUGAAUUUGUGACCACAGGACGUGAACGUGGCUGCUUUCACAGCUCCAGUCAGAGUGGAAAACUACACUCAACUAUUGUGGUCAUGUGGUUUGGGCCUUGGCUGUGAUUCGUGAGCACUCAGGCCAGAUCACCUAUAGUAAAUCACUGCAGAGCUUGACCAAGAGUUUCUGCGUUGUAAUUAAGAUUUUUACAGGCGUUUAUUCUGCGCACAGACAGAUAUUCUGACGUGCAAACACGCACAUUUAUCAUGUACACACUGCAUGGCUACUAAUGUCUUUUGGAGCCGCAUAUGCGCACACAAACAGCUCCACGUGCAGCUUUCUGAAAUGAGUGUUAUUGUGAAGUGGCUAAACAGUCAUCACUCUCUGGACCUGUGAUUUAAGGAUCACUGUGUGACCACGCUAGCACUGUCAUCCUCCACACACUCACUGUCACCAUUUACACUGCUCUACGUCUCACUCAGCACUGAUUUUACCAUAACUUAAGUAUUGGUAAUGCUGACAGCUAAAUGAGCCAGUCAAACCCCUGCUGUAAUAUUUCAUACACAUGCCCAGUAUCAAGUCAGACAGUGUUCGAAACUGACAUAAAUCACCAGAGUGAAAUUUUUACUGCUUUGAGCCUCCCAAAGGCUUUUACUGCUUUGAGCCUCUUUUUUUUUAACGUUGUUUGUUUUUACCUCUUUGUAAAGCACUUUGUGUUCCCAAAGGGAUAUUCCAGCAUGAAAUUAUUUAAGGUCAAACGCAUCAUAACACCGAGUUAGACACCCCCUCGAGAGAUGAAUGUUGCAGACCACUUGCUUCUCUAGUUAAACCAACUUUAGUAACGAACGCACGAUAGCAAUACACAGCAGUCUGAGGAGCCAUAAACAAACCUCAACCAAAACAUCACUCUAUAGCCACACAUAAUGCUCAGAACAGCACCUAACUUCAUCAACAGUACAUAUAGGGUCCCAGCCACAGCACAAGCCACCAAACAUCUUUUUAACUUUGACUAAUUUCUUCAGCAAAGAGACUAAACACAACUCACCUACUCUCCUCCUGCAGCCGCUUGUUUGUAGUGAGACCUCUGGCCAGUGCAUUACGGACUACAGCGGGGUGACGCAGCUCAAGAAAGAACAUUGAUGAUCAUUUCUUUAUCAUUUCCUUGAAGAAAUAAUCACCAUAUUAAUCAUUUUGCACUGCAGACACGGUAGUUCUUCUUUAAUUUUUUUAUACAUAUCCAUGUAACAUUUGGCUAAUUCUACCCAGAUAUUGAGAGAAAAAUCCAUACUAAUUUAUGUUUUUGUGGAAGAAAUACCCAGGAUUUAAUGUAACAACAAUGCACUAAUGUGAAAGGAGUAAUCUGUAGACAUGGACCUGUAGAUACUUUAGCUACACAAUAAAUUUCAGCUCUUUAUUUUGGUUUCACUUUGCACAACACCUUCCGAAAGCAGAUGAUUUUAGUUUAAAAAAACAAUAAAAUAAGGUUAAAGGUCCAGAUAUUUCCUCCAGUCUUGAGAAAGUGAAAAUGCUGAAAUCUGCAGUUCCUCUAGUGUCCACUUGAGGCUGACUCCAAAAGUCCAUGAAUCCACAUACACACCCAUACUAAAAGAAACAUCUUCACGUCAAAAAAUAACAUGAUUACAUUGCCAGGGUUAAAUCACACUUUAGGGGUAGGAGAGCGUUUUUAAACUGUAAAUCUGAUUUAUUGUGAAAAUACUAAAGCUAUUAGUUUUGCAUAAUAAGGGGCACUGAAUAUGAUGGUAUACUAUAAGUAAAUAGAUAUUGAGGCGCACUUGUUUGACUGAAAAGACCAAUAGUUGGCAAAUUGGUCACAGUGGGUUAGUAUAGGCCUCAAAAUUAUCAAUGCAACUUAUAUAAUAAGUUUUACGGUAAUAUGUCAAACAAAUAUUUACAUAAUACAAACACUGUAGCUCCGUAAUUUAAUAAAAUUAUCUUUGCAACUUAAAUUGAUCAUCAUCUUUUCAUCUUCUUGAGCAAUUACUUUACCCUUCCUGUUUUUGAUCAUUCUGCAGCCAAGUCCUUAAAAUCCCAUAUGAGCUUUUUAUGAAAAAUAUAAAAACAAGCAUUUUUCUUUAUGCAAAUUCUAUCCUGACAAGUAUAUUUAAGACUAACAAGUAGAUUUAUUCAGAGUUUAUGUAUACCAACCAGGCAUGGGUAAGUAACCCAACACUCAGUCAAAACAACACCUCAGUUUGUCUGUUUUACGGGGUAGAGUCGGCCCAGUCACUGCAUUUGUUCAAGUGCUUUUUAAGUGUGCUAUUCAAAUGUAAAACUUUGAAUGACUUUUUACUAUUUCCUUUCACAGCAGAGGCCAAAAGAAGAGAUGACCCCUACCUGCAGCACCAGCUUUUGUUAACUCCGAGCUAGACUGCAGCUCAUCAAGCAGACCACACACGGAGAGAGGAGGAAGCGCCGCGCCGAAAGAGAGAGAGAGAGAGAGAGAGUGGAGAGGAGUUCACGCUCGUGUUAUCACAGAGGGUGAAAAAUGAAAUGCUGAGGAGUUUUUUCCACCGUAAAAACUCAUAAUGUAUGUCCACCACCUCCCCAGCAGUGUCACACAUGUUACCCUUUGCAUCUCUCAUCCUCGGCGCUGCGCUCUCUCUCACAAUGUUGCUGUUAAAGUGAGUUUGGUUUAUUUUCUUUUUAUAUGGAGUUUCCAUCAUGCUCCACUCCCUCUGUGGUUCCAGAGCGGCUGGCCAAAUGGCAAUAAAAUGCUCAAAGGACAUCAGAGAGGGAAAAGGAGACUUAUUUGUUAGCCUAUAACAAAAUCCCCAGUAGUUGCAUGAGGCAGUGAACUUGUGAGAAUAAAGGGGGUAAAGCUCUGCCUCAGUGCCGAUGUAAGAGCUAAGAUAAGUGGUCCAGCAGCGAGUCGACCAACCUUAGACAACUGAAUGAAAUCAGUCAACUGUAAUUUUGUUGUUAGAGAGCUAAUUUUACAUUUAAGCUCAAUUAAAACUCAAUUAAAGUUCUAAAAACAUGCGAAAAAACAGCAGAGAUGGAGUAAGCUCGUUAAAGAACAAGGACACAGCUAAAGUAGAAGCAGCUUUGGUUACACAGAAAUGCAUGCAAAGUCAUCAUGAAACAUGUGCUCCCACUGCUGUGUUUGCUAAAACCAUGGCUUUGAAGUGUGAGUGGAAUGAUUGGGGCUAAGUUAAGAUUUUCCUGCCGUGGGCUCCAUUUGGAUGUGACGUGAAUCAAAACUGAAAGCAGAUUUUUGUCUGUUUCUUUCGUGGCACAUGGAACAUUUUUAUAUAAACAGUUGUGACAAAUCUGUGUCAGUGUGCUCCUCGUGUCUCUGCCUCUCUCCUGUCAAUGAAGAAGACUUUUUUCUAUGUAUAUAUGACACCAUCUAUGGUUAUUGCAUAUCUGUUAUAUUUCCAUCUUAAAUUCCCAUUUUUUGUGGGAGUCCCUGAGCUCCAUCAUGUUGUAGCUUCCUGUUUUCCUGCUGCUUCAACUACCAGCAUCAAUCUCACCUGUCCAUCUCUCUUUCUGCAUCUCCCUCUAGAUCCUUUGCAGUCGAGGCAGAUGACUGUCCUGACAUGAGUCUGGUUCUGCUUGAGGUUUCUGCCUGUUUAAGGAAGUUUUUCCUCUCAGCACUCGUGCUACACUCAUAAAGAUGAAGAUGCAAUUGGAGUGAGUCUGAUCUGACAAGGUGGGGCUCCAUCUUACACCAUUUUACAUCAAGUCUUUUUCGUUUCGUUUCAUUUUUAUUUGUUCCACUCAUGGCCAUUAUUGAGCAUUUUCAUAAAUACAAAAGGCAUUUAACAACUGUAGCACAGCACAUGACUGGAAGAGAGCAGGUAGAAGACAAGGCGUAUUUUACCCGCUCACUCCAAACAGAAAUAAACAAUAACUAAAGAUGGUCCGUCCACUUCAGGUUUUUUUCCUGUAACUUUACAAACAAUAUUACAACCACAUAAAAGGAGACACGCAAACAAAAGCAAAGUCAGCGUCACAAAAAACUACUAAAAAAAGCACCUGAUGGUUGGAGCCCUUCUUCCUCCCUGUACCUUCACACCUUCUAAAAAUUCUUCACAGGUGCUUUAAGUUAUUUUAUUCAGCCUGUUAUCUGUUGUUCAUUUUAAUACUGUUGCUGUUGUUAUAACGGUCGGUUCAUUUUUAACAUCAUUUCUGUCCAAACAUUUUAAUUUCAUUUUUACAAGUAUGGACCCCUGAUGAGUUGCUGUUACUUUAGCAGAGACUAAUGUAGAAAUAAAUGACAAAACUAUAAAUAUAAAUGCAAAUGAGUGCGUUAUUUCCAUUUCAUGCGACUCUGCACAACAAUAAUUCGCUCAAAAUCUGAGGUCUGGACUAAAGUGGUGGUUUUGGUGUUCACAUGAAUUGAAUUAAUGGAUUUACGCUGCAACAGUUUCAGUCAUCAAACUAUUAUCCUUCGUUUCCUCGACCUGACGCCUGCUGAAAUGAGACGUCAGUGUGACAUGAUGGAAUACCGUACAAACUCUCUCCCAGUACGUUAUUCCAGCUCUGCUUUCUGACCUAAACUGUGACCAGGUCAGCCCACAGCUCUUGAGGUCAAACAGCUGUAAGAGUACACAUUCAUCUCUGAGCACUGGGUUGAACCGGCCUCAACCUCCCCUCCUAACUGUCUGUCCUCCCCUUUGCUGCGCUGGCAGCCGUGCCCCUAGAAUAGGCAUGUAAACCAUGUAAGCCUGACACCAGUUGUUUUGACUGAGAGCACUGAGGCACUGACUUAUUGUGCAACACAACUCAGGGCCCUCAGUCCUGGUGAGCCAUAUCGCCAAAACCCCCUCUGUAAACCCCAACCCUUCAAACUCCAAAACUGACCUUCACCAGAUGGAAUUUGGGAGCAGUUUCUCCAGAAAGGUGCGGUUAAUCAUGUCAGGAGAAAACCUGAUACUCACAGCUGUGAUAGUGUUCCUGGGAAAGCAACACAGAGUCGAGUCAGUUUGAUAACUUUGAUAGUUUUUAAGCAGAGAUCCAGACCUGAAUCAGAGCCAUGAAUGGAUAAACAAAGGGGAAGACACCUCUAAGAUAAUCCUUAAGAUUCAAAGACAAGAUUUAAACGGUGUUCAGCUAGUUUUAAAACUGUUUAAACAAAGAAGUACGUCACAUAUUAGCCAAACAAGUUAAGAUAAAGAGGCUGUAAAUGAUUCGGAAACACGGUUUAUCAUUAUCAGUGUGAGUGCGCUGUCAGACUGGUGUUAGUAUUUAGUGAAAACACAACAAUGUCAAAGAAAAACCUUUAAAAACAGCCACUAUGGAGGUAGUCUUGUGUUUGCAUGAUGGGUGUUUGGAAAGACCUGAACGUAAAGAUGUGCCACAACCUUACUUGUCAGAGCUACGAGGAAGAUUACAACGUAAAGCCAUCAUACGGUUUUAUUAAGAGUUUCACCAAAUCAUAACUCUCGCUAUUCUAACUUUUUUAAAAUCUGUUUUUGGAGGUUUUAUACUUUAAAACCCUCCACGAGCCAAGAAAAUAAUAUAAAAAUCCCAAUAUGUCAUUCAUUUGGUGGCAUGUGUAUCCUUCAAGUAAAAGCGUAUGAGAAAGGCGUGUUGUUGUACUUCAUGGAUGUCAUCUUCAGGUGCUGGAUCAAGGGUUUCUUAGAGCAUCUACCAUCUUUGUAUUAAUCCAAAACUAGCUGCCCAAUAUGUAGGGCUGGGAAAUAUGGAAAAAAGUUUAUCACAAUAUAUUUUUUCCAUAUCAGUCGAUAUUGAUAUAUAUCACAAUCUAAAAAAUGAAAUUUAUUGGUAGCAUGUCUUUUGCAAUAUAAUAAUCUACUACAUCCAUGAGGUCUUUGUGAUUGUGUUUGAGAAAAUGGACUGAAUGGUCGUCUGUUUCGGCUGCACAGGCGCCAUGGACUCCUUGCUCCACUCGGGGUUUGUAACCUUUUGCAUUGUGCGUGCUCUGUCGUGUGUCACUGCUACAGGUGGUGAAAAGAUUUGAGUUUAUCCCCGACUUUACGAGAACAUGUACUCGACAUAAUUUGCAGUACACAUUACUCUGCUUCAUGUCCGACCACCGACGUUUUCGUGCCAGUGUUGUCGACGAUGUUGUCACUUGUUGAGCCUUGCAUUUCUGCACUCAUUUUCUAAUUUUCUCACCAACAGUACUGUCAGCUUCACGUGUUAAAGUUCUAUGGUUGCGUGUAGCUGCAGCCUGCUACUAUGCAGUUGUUUGCUACUUGGUUCUAAUUCCGCGAAGUGGACCUGGAGCAACUCCCCUUUUCAUUGGCUAUUCGUAUAGUCUACUAAAACAUCUCAGAAUGACGACUAUCAAAAAGCAUAUUGACCAUGUUUUAUAAUGAUAUUGAGGGAAAUUAAUUUUUGACAUAUAUAUUGUUAUCAUUUUAUCACCCAGCCCUACAAAUGUGUAAACAUAAAGUAGCACAUAUAUGAGUAUUUCAUCACAUCACAGCUAAUUGGGGAGCAAAUCCAGUAACAGCUGACUCAAAUGGAAUGAGAGGGAAGAGCAUUUCUUAGCUCAAUGGCUUAAAGUGAUACCAGCAUUACUUUAGAUUCACUCUAGCAUCUUUAAACCAGCUCACUGAGACAUACAGUAUAACAUAUAGAAAUAAUCAGAUGCUCUUUUCGCAGCGUAAACUUGUUUCUGUUGGUUAUUUCAUGUCCAUCCUGGUCCUUCUUCUAUUUCGUUGCACAGACCAGCAGCUGAGGAAUACUUGUGGUUAUUUGUGUGAACUCUCCAGUCUGACCGUGUCUGUCCUCGUGCCUCCUCACUGUGUUUGUGCAACACUGCUCAACUCAGUGGACACAGCAGGGUGUGUCACACCGCUGCAUGCUUGUUACAUUAACACGCAAACUCAGAAAAGUCUGACCGAGUUAUAAGACAGGCUGCUCUUGUCUUUAUAAGAUCGCUGUUUUUCUGGUGCUGAAUCUCAUGUGGACACAGAGGAGCGAGAAACUAAAGUGGAUUAUUUAAUUGGGUGUAAUGUAGAACAAUUCAAAUUCUCGGUGAGAGGUUAUAAAACGUUCCAGAUGGAGAUGGUCAGAGACUAAAAAGGGGGAAACCGAUCUUCCCACUUGGGCCACAAGAGUGCCUUUUUGAUUAGCCUCCAUUUGUUCCUCAACGACACCGCUGAUUAAAGCAGCUUGACUCUGAACUGUUUCUGACAUCUGAGGGGGAUCCUUGUGAGAUUUACAGAAUGAGGGCCAGGACUCUGAGACCUGAGCACACUUGUGUUUUGUUGGUGUGGUCUCUACCCUUCCCAAAUUAUCCCCUCACAAUUCUUUUACUGCCCAGAUAAUGAUUCAUUACGGCUGCAGAGCUCCACACAGUGAUUUAACAACUUUUGAUUCCAGUAAAGCCCAGCCUGCAAACCUCGCCAAUAAACAAACUACUGUAAUUAGGCUACUUAAAACCCGAAAAAGUUGGAUUUUUCAAUGCUCCGUCAUGGUGGUCUUCGGAGAAACAAACAGACUGACAGACUUGUGGGCUCGGGUACAGUAUGAUUUUGUAACUUCUCAAAUAGUUUGGGAGCCACCCAUGGUUCAAUAGAUGAUGUGAACAUUAAAAUAGAGCUGACGGAUCAAAAUGUGAAAUAUCUGGAUACCCUGGGGUUAUAAAUUUCUGCAGGAGAAAGAGUAGAUGUUGGCCUUGGACCAGGAUUGUUUGCCAUGUCAGUGUAGGUUUGUGGGUGGUUUGGUUCACCACUUUGGUCCAGACUGAAAUAUAAUCGACAACUAUUGGAUGGAUGGUUUUAGAAAUCGGUUAAAAACAGUCUUAGGCAAUGUAUUUUAAUAACUUUAGUGAUCCAAUAACAUUAAAUAUAAUUGCAUCCUGGGAAUUACAUUUGAGACUCUUGGUAAAUGUCUUAAAACUUGAGGAUUGAUUGUCAUAAAAUAUGGUUUAUUAAGGGAUUUGAUUACCCGCUGUAACUAAGGAAGACCUGACUGACAGAAACGAAAAGAGACCCUCAGGCAGCAACGAGAACCGUCAGAGAGCCAGCAGGUCAUUCGGAGUCUGAUGCCGUGAGACAUCAGAUGGCACAGCGGCCGAACGUACUGCAGAAGAAGGACCAGGAGAAAGAGACGGACCUGGAGAGGAUGAGGACUAAGAUCACACAUCAGCUCCAGCAAAACAUCAACAACUCUCCAGCAGUGAACUUCAGAGGCACAAGGAGGACAACUGGAGAAGGAUGAGGCUGUGGGGGGAAUAUGUUUGGAGCAUCAGCCUUUGCUCCUUAACAUCAACUACAGUCUGCACCAAAACCAGAGCCAGAACCUGAGCCAAUGGAGGAGUCUGGAGUGUCCGGAGAAGGUCCUUCGACUUCGCAACAGCCACAUGUGUGCAAACAACCAAGACACUACAUCAGCCUGAAAAAGCUGCAGAAGCAGAAGAAGAAACAGUUCUCCACUCAUCCUCAUCUCUCCUACCCGAACUCAUCCUCUUCCUCAUCCUUCUCCUCCCUUUCCUUAAACCAAACCCAUCCUCUUUCUCAACCUGCAAACGAAUAUUUAAAAAAUAUUCAAAAUGAAUAAAAAAACUAACAAAAAACA